RNAcentral lists this ribosomal RNA (253 nucleotides) under uncultured bacterium. RNAcentral describes it as "partial 16S ribosomal RNA". It matches the Rfam family "Bacterial small subunit ribosomal RNA", at positions 524 to 776 of the family's 1533-position model. The record is from RNAcentral.
UACAGAGGGUGCGAGCGUUAAUCGGAAUUACUGGGCGUAAAGCGUGCGUAGACGGUUAUCUAAGUCGGAUGUGAAAGCCCCGGGCUCAACCUGGGAAUUGCAUUCGAGACUGAAUAGCUAGGGUGCGGUAGAGGGAAGCGGAAUUUCCGGUGUAGCGGUGAAAUGCGUAGAUAUCGGAAGGAACAUCAGUGGCGGAAGCGGCUUCCUGGACCAGCACCGACGUUCAGGCACGAAAGCGUGGGGAGCAAACAGG